AUUGAACGCUGGCGGCAUGCUUUACACAUGCAAGUCGAGCGGCAGCGCGGGGGCAACCCUGGCGGCGAGCGGCGAACGGGUGAGUAAUGCAUCGGAACGUGUCCCGUAGUGGGGGAUAACCCGCCGAAAGGCGGGCUAAUACCGCAUAUGCUCUACGGAGGAAAGGGGGGGAUCCGCAAGGACCUCUCGCUAUGGGAGCGGCCGAUGUCCGAUUAGCUAGUUGGUGGGGUAAUGGCUUACCAAGGCGACGAUCGGUAGCUGGUCUGAGAGGAUGAUCAGCCACACUGGGACUGAGACACGGCCCAGACUCCUAUGGGAGGCAGCAGUGGGGAAUUUUGGACAAUGGGGGCAACCCUGAUCCAGCCAUGCCGCGUGCGGGAAGAAGGCCUCGGUUGUAACG
RNAcentral lists this ribosomal RNA (400 nucleotides) under uncultured bacterium. RNAcentral describes it as "bacterial SSU rRNA". It matches the Rfam family "Bacterial small subunit ribosomal RNA", at positions 28 to 430 of the family's 1533-position model. The record is from RNAcentral.